AGAACGAACGCUGGCGGCGUGGAUAAGACAUGCAAGUCGAACGCUUGUUUUGCUGUAGCAACACAGCAGAGCAGGAGUGGCGCAAGGGUGCGUAACACGUGGGUAAUUUGCCAUGGAGUUGGGGAUAACUCGCUGAAAGGCGAGCUAAUACCGAAUGUGGUUUUUGGAGGCAUCUCUGGAAGACUGGAAGGUUGGGGACCGCAAGGCCUGACCGCUCCAUGAAUAACGCCCGCGGCCUAUCAGCUAGGUUGGCGAGGUAACGCUACACCGAAGGCAUCGGACGGGUAGCGUGGUCUGAGAGGAUGAUCAGCCAACACGUGGGACUGGAAGACCGACGACCCAGACCGUCCGAGGG
RNAcentral lists this ribosomal RNA (355 nucleotides) under uncultured soil bacterium. RNAcentral describes it as "bacterial SSU rRNA". It matches the Rfam family "Bacterial small subunit ribosomal RNA", at positions 26 to 347 of the family's 1533-position model. The record is from RNAcentral.